CUAACUUCUAACUUUUAAAUUUUUGCCAUUUAAUUCUCGCACAUUAUCCUUCAUUAAUUUCAUGCUCACAAACACGGCCAAAAACGAAUACCUCUCGCACUUGUCUCGAACACAAAGGGUAAAUCGAAUCCGAAAUCACCAUUACCAACAUUCUGCUACACUUGGAUUCAUCUUCAACUUUAUCAGAUCAAAGAAGCCUCGAUUUGCUUCGGUUAUCUGCUGAAGGAGACGAAGAUGGAGCUGGAAGAAAUCAAAGGCAAUACGACUUCCACGGUGUACCCUUAACUUCUAUAGGUGAUGCAUACCAAGCCGAAAAAAUGCAGCAAUAGGAAGCAAGGGUGAAAGCUUGGUUCAGCAAAGAUUUUUGUGUAAUUCAGUUGAAGGUCAGCUUACUCGAGCCCAAUCCAUAGCUUCAAUUUCUAAUAUCAUCACCUGGAUCAAAUGUUGAAUCAAUAUCAUCAGAUGAGUUUUCAGUUAGACCAAUAUGUUGAACCAAUAUCAUCAGCAAACACUUCAAUUUCUAGCUUCUAUAAACUCUGGGUGGUAGACUGAAUGGUAACUCUGUUUUGAAGCGUUUCGAGAUCAAAAUAGGAAACUUGGAAUUGAUGCAUUGUGAAAGGGGUUAAGAAUGUACGACUUUUGUAUUGAAUAUAUUUGGAAUUAAGUAUUAAAUUGCAUUGAAUGUUAUUGAAUUUAUAUUGAUAGAAAAGUUUGAAUUAAUGAAAAGCUAGUUGUGUAUUAACUCUGAA
Long non-coding RNA from Lathyrus oleraceus (garden pea), 749 nucleotides. RefSeq lists it as uncharacterized. The transcript is spliced from 4 exons. The record is from RefSeq and is a predicted model, not a curated record. Lineage: Eukaryota; Viridiplantae; Streptophyta; Magnoliopsida; Fabales; Fabaceae.